Molecule: ribosomal RNA, 253 nt
Filed under: uncultured bacterium
Lineage: Bacteria
Description: partial 16S ribosomal RNA
Rfam family: Bacterial small subunit ribosomal RNA
Source: RNAcentral
UACGGGGGGGGCAAGCGUUGUUCGGAAUUACUGGGCGUAAAGGGCUCGUAGGUGGCCAACUAAGUCGGACGUGAAAUCCCUCGGCUUAACCGGGGAACUGCGUCCGAUACUGGUUGGCUUGAGUUUGGGAGAGGGAUGCGGAAUUCCAGGUGUAGCGGUGAAAUGCGUAGAUAUCUGGAGGAACACCGGUGGCGAAGGGGGGUCGCUGGGCCGAUACUGACGCUGAGGAGCGAAAGCGUGGGGAGCGAACAGG